GACGAACGCUGGCGGCGUGCUUAACACAUGCAAGUCGAACGAAGAGCGACGGAAGCUUGCUUCUAUCACUCUUAGUGGCGAACAGGUGAGUAACGCGUAAUCAACCUGCCCUUCAGAGGGGGACAACAGUUGGAAACGACUGCUAAUACCGCAUACGAUCUAACCUCGGCAUCGAGGAUAGAUGAAAGGUGGCCUCUACAUGUAAGCUAUCACUGAAGGAGGGGAUUGCGUCUGAUUAGCUAGUUGGAGGGGUAACGGCCCACCAAGGCGAUGAUCAGUAGCCGGUCUGAGAGGAUGAACGGCCACAUUGGGACUGAGACACGGCCCAGACUCCUACGGGAGGCAGCAGUGGGGAAUCUUCCGCAAUAGACGAAAGUCUGACGGAGCAACGCCGCGUGAGUGAUGACGGCCUUCGGGUUGUAAAGCUCUGUUAAUCGGGACGAAAGGCCUUCUUGCGAAUAGUGAGAAGGAUUGACGGUACCGGAAUAGAAAGCCACGGCUAACUACGUG
This 510-nucleotide ribosomal RNA is filed under the name uncultured bacterium. RNAcentral's name for it is "partial 16S ribosomal RNA". It matches the Rfam family "Bacterial small subunit ribosomal RNA", at positions 28 to 507 of the family's 1533-position model. The record is from RNAcentral.